RNAcentral lists this ribosomal RNA (316 nucleotides) under uncultured bacterium. RNAcentral describes it as "bacterial SSU rRNA". It matches the Rfam family "Bacterial small subunit ribosomal RNA", at positions 28 to 334 of the family's 1533-position model. The record is from RNAcentral.
GAUGAACGCUAGCGGCAGGCCUAAUACAUGCAAGUCGGACGGGAGUUGAAAUUAAAGCUUGCUUUGAUUUCAUGAGAGUGGCGCACGGGUGCGUAACGCGUGAGCAACCUACCCAUAUCAGGGGGAUAGCCUCUCGAAAGAGAGAUUAACACCGCAUAACAUCAUUAACCGGCAUCGGAUUAUGAUCAAAUAUUUAUAGGAUAUGGAUGGGCUCGCGUGACAUUAGCUAGUUGGAGAGGUAACGGCUCACCAAGGCUACGAUGUCUAGGGGCUCUGAGAGGAGAAUCCCCCACACUGGUACUGAGACACGGACCAG